Molecule: ribosomal RNA, 586 nt
Filed under: uncultured bacterium
Lineage: Bacteria
Description: bacterial SSU rRNA
Rfam family: Bacterial small subunit ribosomal RNA
Source: RNAcentral
CCUACGGGAGUCAGCAGUGGGGAAUUUUGGACAAUGGGCGCAAGCCUGAUCCAGCCAUGCCGCGUGUGGGAAGAAGGCCUUCGGGUUGUAAACCACUUUUGUCAGGGAAGAAACGGCCUUUUCUAAUACAGAGGGCUAAUGACGGUACCUGAAGAAUAAGCACCGGCUAACUACGUGCCAGCAGCCGCGGUAAUACGUAGGGUGCAAGCGUUAAUCGGAAUUACUGGGCGUAAAGCGUGCGCAGGCGGCUUUGCAAGACAGAUGUGAAAUCCCCGGGCUCAACCUGGGAACUGCAUUUGUGACUGCAUGGCUAGAGUACGGUAGAGGGGGAUGGAAUUCCGCGUGUAGCAGUGAAAUGCGUAGAUAUGCGGAGGAACACCGAUGGCGAAGGCAAUCCCCUGGACCUGUACUGACGCUCAUGCACGAAAGCGUGGGGAGCAAACAGGAUUAGAUACCCUGGUAGUCCACGCCCUAAACGAUGUCAACUGGUUGUUGGACGGCUUGCUGUUCAGUAACGAAGCUAACGCGUGAAGUUGACCGCCUGGGGAGUACGGCCGCAAGGUUGAAACGUCAAAGGAAUUGACGG